This is a long non-coding RNA of Astatotilapia calliptera (eastern happy), 730 nucleotides long. Lineage: Eukaryota; Metazoa; Chordata; Actinopteri; Cichliformes; Cichlidae. The record is from Ensembl.
CCUGACUUCCCCUCGGUGUGGUGGAGAUCAUUUGCGGGUUAUUCUUCUGAAGCCCCCAUCGCGGCUGGUCGUAGCUAUAGAAGCCUCCUCUGAGCUAUUCUGCUUACGUUCUGUGACCCGGCUUAUUUGGAAGUGUGGGCCUUAGUUUUGCGCCAAGCUACGCGAACUGAAGUGCUGCUGUUUUGCCUUGCUGUGCUUUUAUCGUCUGUUCCCGUUGUGAGAAUUCUUUCCCUGCUGCUGUCAGCUUUUACAGUGGACGUCGGCGUGGACAACGGCCAUAUGCAUGCCGGUUAUCGGAGUCAGCUGGCAUGCAUAUUGAUUGACUGUUAACUUAUCGUCGUGUGGACGGCAAGUUGGAGCAGUACGGCGAUUCCGUUUGCUCCAGAUUUUAGAGUUUUAUUCAGAUUAUGCGGAGUGCCGACGUGGAGGAGACUAGGGUGCCUUGGUGGUGGGAUCCCUUGAGUGUACACACCUGCCUUGUCUAGUUUAUUAGUGUGAGUGUGUGAUAGUGUGUUGCACUUGUGUUUUGGUGUGUCUUCUUUCUUUAGUUGUGUGUGGCAUCCCUGCCCCUCCACUGGUAAGCCUCAGCUCUGAAUACCUUUUUAAGCAUAUUUGUAUUUGAAUAUUUAUGAUUAUGUUUUUAUUCGGUGUUUUAAAUAAUUACCAAUAAAUUGUCAAUUUGUUUAUUAUUGAACCUCGUCUCUGGAUUGAGUAUAGCGAACCUAAGUGC